Molecule: ribosomal RNA, 493 nt
Filed under: uncultured bacterium
Lineage: Bacteria
Description: bacterial SSU rRNA
Rfam family: Bacterial small subunit ribosomal RNA
Source: RNAcentral
CUACGUGCCAGCAGCCGCGGUCAUACGUAGGGUGCAAGCAUUAUCCGGAGUGACUGGGCGUAAAGAGUUGCGUAGGCGGUUUAGCAAGUGAAUAGUGAAAGCUGGUGGCUCAACCAUACAGACUAUUAUUCAAACUGUUAAACUCGAGAGUGGUAGAGGUAACUGGAAUUUCUUGUGUAGGAGUGAAAUCCGUAGAUAUAAGAAGGAACACCAAUGGCGUAGGCAGGUUACUGGACCAUUUCUGACGCUAAGGCACGAAAGCGUGGGGAGCGAACGGGAUUAGAUACCCCGGUAGUCCACGCCGUAAACGAUGGAUACUAGCUGUUGGAGGUAUCGACCCCUUCAGUAGCGAAGCUAACGCGUUAAGUAUCCCGCCUGUGGAGUACGGCCGCAAGGCUAAAACAUAAAGGAAUUGACGGGGACCCGCACAAGCGGUGGAUUAUGUUCUUUAAUUCGAUGAUAACCGAAGAACCUUACCAGGGCUKACAUCCAG